This 450-nucleotide ribosomal RNA is filed under the name uncultured Candidatus Solibacter sp. RNAcentral describes it as "bacterial SSU rRNA". It matches the Rfam family "Bacterial small subunit ribosomal RNA", at positions 55 to 539 of the family's 1533-position model. The record is from RNAcentral. Lineage: Bacteria; Pseudomonadati; Acidobacteriota; Terriglobia; Bryobacterales; Solibacteraceae.
GUGCGAGUCGAACGGGAAAGUGGGCAACCAUGAGUACAGUGGCGUACGGGUGAGUAACACGUGGGUAAUCUACCUCUUAGUGGGGAAUAACUCUGGGAAACCGGAGCUAAUACCGCAUGAGCUCGAGAGAGGAAAGUCGCAAGACGCUGAGAGAGGAGCCCGCGGCCGAUUAGCUAGUUGGGAGGGUAAGAGCCUUACAAGGCAGAGAUCGGUAGCCGGCCUGAGAGGGCACACGGCCACACUGGCACUGAAACACGGGCCAGACUCCUACGGGAGGCAGCAGUGGGGAAUCUUGCACAAUGGGGGAAACCCUGAUGCAGCGACGCCGCGUGAGCGAUGAAGCCCUUCGGGGUGUAAAGCUCUUUCGUCAGGGAAGAUGAUGACGGUACCUGGAGAAGCAGCUGCGGCUAACUACGUGCCAGCAGCCGCGGUAAUACGUAGGCAGCGAGC